UCCCUGGUGGUCCAGGGCUUAAGACUCUGCAUUUCCAAUGUGGAGGGCCUGGGUUCAAUCCCUGGUCAGAGAA
Transfer RNA from Ovis aries (sheep), 73 nucleotides. It matches the Rfam family "tRNA". From Rfam's summary of the family: Transfer RNA (tRNA) molecules are approximately 80 nucleotides in length. Their secondary structure includes four short double-helical elements and three loops (D, anti-codon, and T loops). Further hydrogen bonds mediate the characteristic L-shaped molecular structure. tRNAs have two regions of fundamental functional importance: the anti-codon, which is responsible for specific mRNA codon recognition, and the 3' end, to which the tRNAs corresponding amino acid is attached (by aminoacyl-tRNA synthetases). tRNAs cope with the degeneracy of the genetic code in two manners: having more than one tRNA (with a specific anti-codon) for a particular amino acid; and 'wobble' base-pairing, i.e. permitting non-standard base-pairing at the 3rd anti-codon position. NCBI's taxonomy places the organism in Eukaryota, Metazoa, Chordata, Mammalia, Artiodactyla, Bovidae. The record is from Rfam.